AGUGAACGCUGGCGGUAGGCCUAACACAUGCAAGUCGAACGGCAGCACAGGAGAGCUUGCUCUCUGGGUGGCGAGUGGCGGACGGGUGAGGAAUACAUCGGAAUCUACUCUGUCGUGGGGGAUAACGUAGGGAAACUUACGCUAAUACCGCAUACGACCUACGGGUGAAAGCAGGGGACCUUCGGCCCUUGCGCGAUUGAAUGAGCCGAUGUCGGAUUAGCUAGUUGGCGGGGUAAAGGCCCACCAAGGCGACGAUCCGUAGCUGGUCUGAGAGGAGGAUCAGCCUCACUGGAACUGAGACACGGCCCAGGCUCCUACGGGAGGCAGCAGUGGGGAAUAUUGGACAAUGGGAGCGAGCCUGAUCCAGCCAUACCGCGUGGGUGAAGAAGGCCUUCGGGUUGUAAAGCCCUUUUGUUGGGAAAGAAAUCCAGCUGGCUAAUACCCGGUUGGGAUGACGGUACCCAAAGAAUAAGCACCGGCUAACUUCGUGCCAGCCGCCGCCGUAA
RNAcentral lists this ribosomal RNA (506 nucleotides) under uncultured bacterium. RNAcentral describes it as "partial 16S ribosomal RNA". It matches the Rfam family "Bacterial small subunit ribosomal RNA", at positions 29 to 523 of the family's 1533-position model. The record is from RNAcentral.